RNAcentral lists this ribosomal RNA (1418 nucleotides) under metagenome. Its description in RNAcentral is "SSU rRNA". It matches the Rfam family "Eukaryotic small subunit ribosomal RNA", at positions 394 to 1801 of the family's 1831-position model. The record is from RNAcentral.
CCCUGAGAAACGGCUACCACAUCCAAGGAAGGCAGCAGGCGCGCAAAUUACCCAAUCUCAAUUCGAGGAGGUAGUGACAAGAAAUACCAGUACAGGGCCCAUUGGGUACUGUGAUUGGAAUGAAUACAAUUUAAAAACCUUAAUGAGGAACGAUUGGAGGGCAAGUCUGGUGCCAGCAGCCGCGGUAAUUCCAGCUCCAAUAGUGUAUAUUAAAGUUGCUGCAGUUAAAAAGCUCGUAGUUGGAUUUCGGAUUAAUGGGAGUUAAGGUCCAUCAAUUUGAUGUGUACCUUAUUCUCGUUUCCUUCCUUUUGAAUACACUCCCUGAAAUUUUUUUGUGGGGAUCAAAGUGUUUCAAAUCUUUUACUGUGAAGAAAUUAGAGUGUUCAAAGCAGGCGUAAUCUAGCCUUUGAAUAUAUUAGCAUGGGAUAAUGAAAUAGGACUUUAGUUCUACUUUCGUUGGUUUCUAGGGCUAAAGUAAUGAUUAAUAGGGAUAGUUGGGGUCACUAGUAUUUAAUUGUCAGAGGUGAAAUUCUAAGAUUUAUUAAAGACUAACUACUGCGAAAGCAUUUGACAAGGAUGUUUUCAUUAAUCAAGAACGAAAGUUGGGGGAUCGAAGAUGAUCAGAUACCGUCGUAGUCUCAACCAUAAACUAUGCCGACCAAGGAUCCGGGGGUGUUAAAUAUGGAUGACUCUCCGGGCACUUAUAGAGAAAUCAUAAGUAUUUGGGCUCCGGGGGGAGUAUGGUCGCAAGGCUGAAACUUAAAGGAAUUGACGGAAGGGCACCACAAGGAGUGGAACCUGCGGUUUAAUUUGACCCAACACGGGGAAACUUACCAGGUCCAGACACAGUGAGGAUUGACAGAUUGAGAGUUCUUUCUUGAUUCUGUGAGUGGUGGUGCAUGGCCGUUUCUAGUUGGUGGAGUGAUUUGUCUGGUUAAUUCCGUUAACGAACGAGACCUUAACCUAUUAAAUAGUUGCUUGAACACAUGAAUAUUUUAUUCUUUGUUCGGUUAACUUCUUAGAGGGACUCUUCACUGAGAGAGUGAAUGGAAGUUUGAGGCAAAAACAGGUCUGUGAUGCCCUUAGAUGUUCUGGGCCACACGCGCGUUACACUGACAUAUUCAACGAGCAUUUUCCUGGCCCGAUGGGGUUGGGUAAUCUUUUAAAUGUAUGUCGUGCUGGGGAUAGAUCAUUGUAAUUAUUGGUCUUGAACGAGGAAUUCCUAGUAAGUGCAAGUCAUCAACUUGCGCUGAUUACGUCCCUGCCCUUUGUACACACCGCCCGUCGCUCCUACCGAUUGAAUGGUCCGGCGAGAACUCAAGAUGGAAAUAGGUUUUGGACACCGUCAGGUGCUCCAACUAUAUCCAGAAUUUGUUCAAACCUUACCAUUUAGAGGAAGGAGAAGUCGUAACAAGGUU